RNAcentral lists this long non-coding RNA (349 nucleotides) under Salvia miltiorrhiza (redroot sage). RNAcentral's name for it is "long non-coding RNA (SMIL_LNC013940)". Lineage: Eukaryota; Viridiplantae; Streptophyta; Magnoliopsida; Lamiales; Lamiaceae. The record is from RNAcentral.
GAAAUUUCUGUUUUGCCUCCAAUUUUCUGUCACUUUUCAUUAUGCCGGCCUCUCUCUGUAUGUGUUUGACAGAUUUUAAAUUAUGAUUAAUUGUGAAGAAUUUUAUAAUCAAAAUUAAAGAAUAAAAAAAAACAAUAAUGCACAUCAGAAUGUAUAUAAAGAAAAAAAAAAUUCGAUUAAUUGUGAAGAAUUUUUUAAUGCCUCUGAAAAAAAAUCAAGUAAACAAGAUAAAAAAAAAUCCAUAAUGCAUAUAAAGAAUAAAUUCUAAAAGAAAAAGCAAUCUCCUAAUCAAAUUAGUAAAAGUAAUCUAAUCUCUUAACCACUACCCUUUUAUUUCAUCCACAUCACA